This 260-nucleotide unclassified non-coding RNA is filed under the name Hevea brasiliensis (rubber tree). Lineage: Eukaryota; Viridiplantae; Streptophyta; Magnoliopsida; Malpighiales; Euphorbiaceae. The record is from RNAcentral.
GUCCAACUUCCUUGGAAAAUUGUCCUUUAUAAAUCUUGACUUAUGUUCUAAGCUCACGAGUUUGACCUUCUUUGCCCUUAUAAGAAACUGCCCCUUGUUGGAAGAUGUGAGAAUGGAGAGAACAAACUUGGGGGUGGAAGAGUUUAUGGUGGAUUUGGUGAUCAAUCGCCGAGUGAAAUCUCUAAAAUUGAGUGGGAAUAACAGUUUGAGUGAUGAAUGUCUCAAAAAGGCUGCGUUAUGUUGUCCAAGUUUACAAGUGG